Myripristis murdjan (pinecone soldierfish) is the source of this 904-nucleotide long non-coding RNA. RefSeq lists it as uncharacterized. The record is from RefSeq and is a predicted model, not a curated record. The transcript has 2 exons. NCBI's taxonomy places the organism in Eukaryota, Metazoa, Chordata, Actinopteri, Holocentriformes, Holocentridae.
UACAGGUUAAUUACAUAUUAUUGAAUUAUUAAUUACUGAAAAAUUCUGCUAAUUGAAAGCAAAAAUACAUAACAUAAUUUGCACCAAUAGGUGCUGGAUGGGGGUGGGGUUUUAAUGAACAAACAACUAAGUUAUCUUGCUGUGAUUGGCUGGAUUUGUUUUACCUGUCCCCUCCCACAACUUUUCUCAUUUUCAUCAGUGACGUUGAAUGGUAAGCAACUCUUUCUUAUAAAGCUAGGCAUAAAUGUAGUGUUUUAAUUUAAGAUUAAGUAUCAAGAAUUAAAAAGUGCAAGUUUAAUGUCACUUUUUUCCACACAGGAUAAUUACAAAACAUUAAAUUAACAAUUACUGAUUUUUUCUGAUUACAGCCUUCAAAAGGUGUUUUCAAAUGGUAGAAUACAGUGUUUUAAUUUGAAUUUACGUCUGAAGCAUUAAAAAAUACACAUUGUACCAAGUUUUUCAUAUAUCUGUUAUAUAUGUUUGUGUGUUUGCAUAAUACAAAUUUCUUCUUAAACAGAAUUGUAAACAGAAAAACAACAUGAGUCAGCCAUCGUGCCCCGUUUGCAUUCGUUGCAUGGAUUGUGACCAUAUGGGUCCACCCCCUUACCCUGGAGAGCCAAUCCAUUCCAAUCCACUGGUCCGAGAUCACCCAAGCACAGUCAUCAUACAUCAAGGGGUUAGUGAAUAUAUCAAUGUCGUGAUGUAGAUUAUAUUUAUGCAAACUUGCCAUAAACUAAUCGUUAUUUUCCUGUCUUUCAGUGCUGUGGUGACCCACAGGACCGGACCUUCAACAUCAUACUUGCUUGUUGGGCAAUAACCCUUGUUAUUAUGUCUGCCCUAUUGUUUUACAUGGUAUGGAAUGCCAUUCAAAAGUGAAGUGGAAAUAAACAUUGUUUGUGUUUUA